RNAcentral lists this ribosomal RNA (253 nucleotides) under uncultured bacterium. RNAcentral's name for it is "partial 16S ribosomal RNA". It matches the Rfam family "Bacterial small subunit ribosomal RNA", at positions 524 to 776 of the family's 1533-position model. The record is from RNAcentral.
GACGAACCGUCCUAACGUUGUUCGGAAUCACUGGGCUUAAAGGGCGCGUAGGCGGGUCGCCAAGUCUGGGGUGAAAUCUUUCAGCUUAACCGGAAAAUAGCCCUGGAUACUGGCGAUCUAGAGGGUGGUAGGGGCAUGUGGAACUUCCGGUGGAGCGGUGAAAUGCGUUGAUAUCGGAAGGAACGCCGGUGGCGAAAGCGACGUGCUGGACCACUACUGACGCUGAGGCGCGAAAGCCAGGGGAGCAAACGGG